AUUGAACGCUGGCGGAAUGCUUUACACAUGCAAGUCGAGCGGCAGCGCGGGGGCAACCCUGGCGGCGAGCGGCGAACGGGUGAGUAAUACAUCGGAACGUGUCCUUGAGUGGGGGAUAGCUCGGCGAAAGCCGGAUUAAUACCGCAUAAGCUCUGCGGAGGAAAGCGGGGGACUGGUAACGGCCUCGCGCUGUUGGAGCGGCCGAUGUCGGAUUGGCUAGUUGGUGGGGUAAAGGCCCACCAAGGCGACGAUCCGUAGCUGGUCUGAGGGGAUGAUCAGCCACACUGGAACUGAGACACGGUCCAGACUCCUACGGGAGGCAGCAGUGGGGAAUUUUGGACAAUGGGGCAACCCUGAUCCAGCCAUUCCGCGUGAGUGAAGAAGGCCU
RNAcentral lists this ribosomal RNA (388 nucleotides) under uncultured bacterium. Its description in RNAcentral is "bacterial SSU rRNA". It matches the Rfam family "Bacterial small subunit ribosomal RNA", at positions 28 to 417 of the family's 1533-position model. The record is from RNAcentral.